UCUAGCGUCUACUUCCCUCUCCACUAUGUGAAGUGUUCGUUCAAUUUCAGGAUCAAGAGGAAGGAGAUUGUUUGCGCUUCUACUCUUCCGCAUUCUAGAGAAGAGCUUGUGUUAACACAAACAAGGUGAGCUGAAAAUUAAAACUUGAAUAAAUAACUAAUAAAAGCUCUAUUCAGUCAAGUAGCUAAUUUCUAAGUCCCCGGCAGCGGCGCUAAAAACUUGUUGCGACCAA
Molecule: long non-coding RNA, 232 nt
Filed under: Nicotiana benthamiana
Lineage: Eukaryota; Viridiplantae; Streptophyta; Magnoliopsida; Solanales; Solanaceae
Description: long non-coding RNA (NBEN_LNC000915)
Source: RNAcentral